This 482-nucleotide ribosomal RNA is filed under the name uncultured bacterium. RNAcentral describes it as "partial 16S ribosomal RNA". It matches the Rfam family "Bacterial small subunit ribosomal RNA", at positions 28 to 507 of the family's 1533-position model. The record is from RNAcentral.
GUUGAACGCUGGCGGCAUGCCUUACACAUGCAAGUCGAACGGUAACAGGUCUUUUGAUGCUUACAUUUGUCGCACGGGUGUGUAUUACAUCUGAACAUGCUCCACCGUGCGCUAUAAUGGAGCGUAAACUUUGCUAAUACCGCAUACGAUCUACGGUUACCAGCUGGUGACCGCAUGGACUUACGCUUACGUGGCGGCUGAUGGCAGAUCAGGUAGUUGGUGGGAUAAAAGCAUACCAAGCCGACGAUUUGUAGCUGGUCUGAGAGGACGACCAGACACACUGGGACUGAGACACGGCCCAGACUCCUAAGGGAGGCAGCAGUGGGGAAUUGUGGACAAUGGGCGAAAGCCUGAUCCAGCCAUGCCGCGUGCAGGAUGAAGGCCUUCGGGUUGUAAACUGCUUUUGUACGGAACGAAAAGACUCUUUCUAAGAAAGAGGGUCCAUGACGGUACCGUAAGAAUAAGCACCGGCUAACUACGUG